CCCGGCCCUGCUGUCGGCUCACCUUCCUUGGUGUUUUGCUUAUAGAGUCCAGUUAGGCUUCAUAAUUUGUUUUCUGAUUUCCAAAGCAGAGGGAUGUGAACGGAAAAGGGACCAGGCAGAGGGCAGAAACAAGGACAGAGUCUCAUAAAAGUACAGGUAAGCGUCAAAGCUGAUCUGUAGACAAGGAUGACCUCGCACUUUUGAUUCUCUGCCUUACGCUGGGAUUACAGGGAUGCACCACCACACCCAGUUCAUACACUGAAGGUCAACCCUGGCUUCAUACAUGUGCAGUCAACCGUGCCAACUUCCUUCUUCUGACUGCUGCCCACGGUCUGCUCUGAAUAAAAGGUAGGUGGUUCACUGAAGAAAUCCUUCACUUUUGAAAUUCAUGUGACCGUUCUGCUGCGUCGUCAUUUCGGAUUUCUUGACUCAGCUAC
Long non-coding RNA from Meriones unguiculatus (Mongolian gerbil), 437 nucleotides. RefSeq lists it as uncharacterized. The transcript is spliced from 3 exons. The record is from RefSeq and is a predicted model, not a curated record. NCBI's taxonomy places the organism in Eukaryota, Metazoa, Chordata, Mammalia, Rodentia, Muridae.